GUACUCACUUCUGAAGCACUUAUGCUAAAGUUAGAACAACACUGAGAAUAUUAGCACAAUUUCUGAGCAAGGACAGCAGGCAAAUUCAUAAAGUGUCUCACUUUUCA
Molecule: small nuclear RNA, 107 nt
Organism: Grammomys surdaster
Lineage: Eukaryota; Metazoa; Chordata; Mammalia; Rodentia; Muridae
Source: RefSeq, a predicted model, not a curated record